AUUGAACGCUGGCGGAAUGCUCUACACAUGCAAGUCGAACGGCAGCACGGACUUCGGUCUGGUGGCGAGUGGCGAACGGGUGAGUAAUGUAUCGGAACGUGCCCAGUCGUGGGGGAUAACGUAGUGAAAAUUACGCUAAUACCGCAUACGAUCUAUGGAUGAAAGCGGGGGAUCGCAAGACCUCGCGCGAUCGGAGCGGCCGAUAUCAGAUUAGGUAGUGGGUGGGGUAAAGGCCCACCCAGCCAACGAUCUGUAGCUGGUCUGAGAGGACGACCAGCCACACUGGAACUGAGACACGGUCCAGACUCCUACGGGAGGCAGCAGUGGGGAAUUUUGGACAAUGGGCGAAAGCCUGAUCCAGCCAUUCCGCGCGCAGGAUGAAGGCCCUCGGGUUGUAAACUGCUUUUGUACAGAACGAAAAGGUUUCUACUAAUACUAGGAGCUCAUGACGGUACUGUAAGAAUAAGCACCGGCUAACUACGUGCCAGCCGCCGCCGUAA
RNAcentral lists this ribosomal RNA (500 nucleotides) under uncultured bacterium. RNAcentral's name for it is "partial 16S ribosomal RNA". It matches the Rfam family "Bacterial small subunit ribosomal RNA", at positions 30 to 523 of the family's 1533-position model. The record is from RNAcentral.